Molecule: ribosomal RNA, 777 nt
Filed under: uncultured Neocallimastigales
Lineage: Eukaryota; Fungi; Neocallimastigomycota; Neocallimastigomycetes; Neocallimastigales
Description: partial large subunit ribosomal RNA
Rfam family: Eukaryotic large subunit ribosomal RNA
Source: RNAcentral
ACACGCAUGACACACUGCAUAUCAAUAAGCGGAGGAAAAGAAACUAACAAGGAUUCCCCUAGUAACGGCGAGUGAAGCGGGAAGAGCUCAAAUUUGAAAUCUUAAAGGGUUUCCCUUUACGAAUUGUAGUUUAAAGAAGUGUUUUCUGUUGGAGUUUCGGUAAAAGUUCUUUGGAAUAGGACAUCAUAGAGGGUGAGAAUCCCGUAUUUGACCGUUACUUUCCAGCUGUGUGAUACACUUUCAAAGAGUCGGAUUGUUUGGGAAUGCAGUCCAAAAUGGGUGGCAAAUUUCAUCUAAAGCUAAAUAUUGGCGAGAGACCGAUAGCGAACAAGUACCGUGAGGGAAAGAUGAAAAGAACUUUGAAAAGAGAGUUAAACAGUACGUGAAAUUGUCAAAAGGGAAGCGUUUGACACCAGUGUUGUUUAGUUGAAAAUCAAUUCAAUAAUUUUUGAUUUUAAGUAGUAUUGACUUCAUCAGCUUGCUGCUUUCUUUUCAGGAAUUAUUGAAUGCACUUUUCAGUUAACAAGUCAACAUCAAUUUCUUUUGUUGUAAAAGGGUAAGAGGAAGGUGGCUUACGCUUCGGCGUAAGUGUUUAUAGCCUUUUACCUCUGCAAUCGGAGAGAUUGAGGACAGCAGCGUAGACUCCUUCGGGGUUAGAUACACUUGUGCUAAGCUAUAGCCUUGUAUAGACAACUUGUUGACUAUGCUCAGUCAUGUAGCUUACUCGCUUAGUGCUAUUUUACCUACGCUUAGGAUGUUGAGCGCAUGUCUCUCUCU